Molecule: ribosomal RNA, 444 nt
Filed under: uncultured bacterium
Lineage: Bacteria
Description: partial 16S ribosomal RNA
Rfam family: Bacterial small subunit ribosomal RNA
Source: RNAcentral
GUAGGGAAUAUUGGGCAAUGGUCGGAAGACUGACCCAGCCAUGCCGCGUGCAGGAAGACGGCCCUCUGGGUUGUAAACUGCUUUUAUCUGGGAAGAAAAAGGCCAUGCGUGGCAAAUUGCCGGUACCAGAUGAAUAAGCACCGGCUAACUCCGUGCCAGCAGCCGCGGUAAUACGGAGGGUGCAAGCGUUGUCAGGAUUUAUUGGGUUUAAAGGGUGCGUAGGCGGCUGAUUAAGUCAGCGGUGAAAGACUCCGGCUUAACCGGAGCAGUGCCGUUGAUACUGGUUAGCUUGAGUGUUGGAGGGGUACAUGGAAUUGAUGGUGUAGCGGUGAAAUGCAUAGAUACCAUCAGGAACACCGAUAGCGAAGGCAUUGUACUGGCCAACAACUGACGCUGAUGCACGAAAGUGUGGGGAUCGAACAGGAUUAGAUACCCUGGUAGUCC